Molecule: ribosomal RNA, 253 nt
Filed under: uncultured bacterium
Lineage: Bacteria
Description: partial 16S ribosomal RNA
Rfam family: Bacterial small subunit ribosomal RNA
Source: RNAcentral
GACGAACCGUGCGAACGUUGUUCGGAAUCACUGGGCUUAAAGGGCGCGUAGGUGGCCUUCUAAGUUGAACGUGAAAUCCCUGGGCUCAACCGGGGAACUGCGUCUGAUACUGGACGGCUUGAGUUUGGGAGAGGGACGCGGAAUUCCAGGUGUAGCGGUGAAAUGCGUAGAUAUCUGGAGGAACACCGGUGGCGAAGGCGGCGUCCUGGACCAACACUGACACUGAGGAGCGAAAGCCAGGGGAGCAAACAGG